RNAcentral lists this non-coding RNA (89 nucleotides) under Pseudomonas sp. OV226. The record is from RNAcentral. Lineage: Bacteria; Pseudomonadati; Pseudomonadota; Gammaproteobacteria; Pseudomonadales; Pseudomonadaceae.
CUUGAUGGUGGCUGUGUGCAUGGCACCCUCGGGUGCGCCGGGUUUGAGGGAGUUACCGGUCUACUAACUUGCGCACAGCUACCACCCCU